GCUUGGGGGAGCCCUCCUGGUUGAAGAUGCUUCCGGCCAGGGCAAGCCUGUGUGGAAGCCCCAGUGCUGAGGGAACGGGGGUGGAACUGAGGUGGAAAUUUGGGGAUGUGGAUAGUCCAGGUCAGGGAUGGUGAACCUUUUAGUGACUGGGUGCCCAAACUUCAGCCCAAAACCCACUUAUUCAUCGCAAAGCGCCAACACUGCAAUUAACCCUGAAUAGUCAAUGGUCGGCUGCUGGGGCCACUUGGCUCACGUGCCAACAAAGAGGGCUCUGUGUGCCAGCCAUGGCACGUGUGCCCUGGGUUCGCCACCACCAGUUCAGACAUUCAAGAGGAAGUGUCUGGCUAGCAUUUUGUGAAGAACCAGGCUAGAGGUAAUACAUAAAGUAGUGAAGUAAACUUCAUAGCAUCCUACUUCUUAGCUUUAGAGCAUGUUGCCUAGGACUUUGGAAUCCCAAUGCCAAAAGAACUGCAUAAUUUAUUUAUUUAUUUAUUUUUUGGUACCGGGGAUUGAACUCAGGACCUUGCACAUGUGAGGCAGGCAGCAGCACCACUGACCUAAAUCCCCGGCCCUAACUGCAUAAUUAAAAAAAAUCAAAUUAGUUAUUUGAUGUUAUGAAAUGAAAACGAAACUAUUUUUCUUUUGUUGACUCAGCCUGAUGUGUAACAUGGAAGUCACUCAAGCCUGAGUGUGUGUGUAUGUGAGUGUGUCUGUCUUUGUUCACAGAGGCAAACACUUAAUGUGGAAAAGGCUGUGUUCUUGCAUUGUUUAUCUCAUCCUAAAAUUACAGAAGCAGGGAGUUUUGUGCCAAGAGACGCUCCCCUUGUCUCACCAGGAGGUGUCACUACAGCUCAUUCAGACGUCGGAGCACAUUCAGUCCUUGGGACCGGGACCACGGUGUUGGCCUUCAACACCUGCCCACUGGGUUCUCUGCCAAGCUAAUUUAAUUAAAAAACGCAAAUUAAAAAAAAAAUUACUUCCGGGUACCCACUUCCGCUCCAAACAAAUGCUGUUACCAGGAACUAGCUGAAACCUAAAAGACUUGUUUAAUGCUCUGGAAACAAAUGCCACUCUUUCUUUUAAGCGUAGGGCAGGGCACAGUGGAAAGAAAAUACAAAGAACGAGGUAAGGGAGGAAAGACAGGUGUGGAGAGCGGUGAGGAGAAGCGGGGGCUGCGCGUGUCUGGCACCAGGUGCCCUGGAAGUCCCCGCGCACUCUGCUUUCUCCUCUGACCUGUGCGUGUUCUCCUGUUCCUGCCUCCUUGCUCCACUCGGUACCUGUCUGCCAUGCCACCUGCAUUGGAGCCAGCAGAUUAUGGACUGAAACCUCUACAAACUGAUCUCCAGCCUGAGUAUAUGCCAAUUGACAUGGGGACACAGAGGCCAGCAAUUUAAGGAUUUUCCCAUUUGCUUGCAGUGGUAAGAUUUAAAGAUAUACCAAUAAGCGAUGUUAAAUAUUACUGGGUUCUGGCUUUUUGUACUCAAUAUGAAUUGAAGUUGUUUAGGUAUAAUUUUUUUUGACCAGUACAGGUCUCCAUUCAGUUAUUUUGGAAAAGGACAGUGAGCAUAACCACAAUUCAUAAUGCAUAAAUAUGGAACAUACUAUUGUUGCAAUGGGUGAAAAUUGGGAAACUGAGCAAUAUUUGGAUUUCUCUCUUUCUGUACAGUUGGACUAAGUUGAAAAAAUGGUUUCCACUUUGGAAAACAAAACAGUUUCUAUUCACAGGAUUCAAUUAUCAGAACACUGGGGAACACAAGAGUUUAAAAUCAAUGGGGAGAAAGGAAAGGGAAGUGAUUCUUUAAUUCCCUAGGGGGCAGUGUGUCCUUAGCUUGGGUCCUGAGAUUGGGCUCUAAACCAUACCUGUGGUUAAUUAAAUGAUUGCAUAAAAUGAGCCGUGUCUGCUGCCAAUGGCAGGGACCUCAGCCCUGGACAACUGCUGCCAGCAGAGGCGCAUCUGUAUGCCAUCACCUGAACAGACAGCUGUAACAGUGGAGACACUGGCAGAUGGAUGGCAGACCGUAUGAACAGAACAUCACUUUUGAAAAGGGAAGUCUUCACUCCAUCCUCUGCGUGUAUGUACACAUGUGCCCCACUCUUAGAUCUGAGGUGGAGAUACAGUGUUAGCAUCAGUGAUGAUUAAGUAUGUAGAUCUAUUAUGGGAGAAAGCUCAGUAUCUGGACACGUUUCCAACAUACAGCAGGAAGUAUUCCAUGAUGUGGCUAAGGAGAGUCAAGCAAGAUCACUCGAGCUCCAGCGGGUCCUUUGGGUCCUGUAUUGUUUAGCUUAGCAGGCGAAGUUCAGGUCUAAUACCCAUUCCAGGAUCAACCCCAGGGUGGGCCAGAUCUUCAAGAAAUGAGGCUCCCAGUUCUCUGGGGGAUACGUUUUAAUGUAGUUUCUGUGUAUUUCUGAGUGCUCAUUUUCAUGUGUGGUCUUGCAGCUGUCCCUGGGACACUGAACACGUGGCUUUCAGCCACCUGAUUUGUCUGCUUUUGUAUACUGGAUGCUCAGUAUCUGUGAAUUCUUG
This 2524-nucleotide long non-coding RNA is filed under the name Heterocephalus glaber (naked mole-rat). Its description in RNAcentral is "lncRNA (ENSHGLG00100045548.1)". Lineage: Eukaryota; Metazoa; Chordata; Mammalia; Rodentia; Bathyergidae. The record is from RNAcentral.